GACGAACGCUGGCGGCGUGCUUAACACAUGCAAGUCGAACGGAGUGGCGAACGGGGGAGUAACACGUGGGUGAACUGCCCUGCAAUUACGGAUAAGCCUGGGAAAAUGGGUCUAAUACCGGAUAGUGUGGGAUGGGCGGGGGGCUUAUCAGCUUGUUGGUGGAGUAAUGGCCUACCACGGCGGCGACGGGUAGCCGGCCUGAGAGGGUGGACGGCGACAAGGGGCCUGAGAGACGGCCCAGAAUCCUACGUGAGGCAGCAGGGGGGAAUCUGGCACAACUGGGGGAAGUCAGAUGCAUGGACCCUGCGUGGGUGAUGACGGCUUUCGGGUGGUAAACUCCUGUCACAAUCGCCGCGGUAGAUGGAGAAGAAGCACCGGCUAACUACGUGCCAGCAGCCGCGGUAAUAC
RNAcentral lists this ribosomal RNA (408 nucleotides) under uncultured bacterium. RNAcentral's name for it is "partial 16S ribosomal RNA". It matches the Rfam family "Bacterial small subunit ribosomal RNA", at positions 28 to 526 of the family's 1533-position model. The record is from RNAcentral.